CCUCUCUCAUCGCCAUCAUCCAUUUGCAUCCUCGAUGUUUCCGUGCCUCCUAAGGUACUUAUCUAAAAAGUGGAGUCCCAGUCAUAGUCACAGGCUCCCCAAAACAUCUCCUACACCAAAUCACUCUUCAUUUCCACCGACACCAUGUUCGUGACACCAACACAACCAGUGCUGGUCAUGUUACAAAGAUUUUACUAAAUUUUACCCUGCUCCAAACCAAACUCUCCCUUGAAAACAUCAUUCUUUCCCACCUUCCACCUCUACAAAAGCCCGUCAAUUGGACCACAAGACAAAGAACCGUAAGAGAGCAAAAAUGGCAAGUCCCUUUUUCUCCUCUUGCUUGAGCAGCCAGUAAACGAUGAACAGAGACAGAGAUUAUGGCACAGAAAAGUAGCUAGUUUACGAGCAUGUAAAAUAAUCAAGGACAGCGUUGAAAAAUUGAUAUCAUUAAUUAAACUGCAAAGACCGAGUAUAUAUGACAUUAAAUUAACAAAAGAAAAAAAAUUAUUAUAAGAGGUCAGUUUUUUUCUGUGGUGUUUCAGUAUAGUGGACUCAAGCAGUGUGUCUCACACUAAUUUAAUCAGUUUUUUUUUUUUGUUUCAAUUUCUUUUCUUUUCUUGCUUUUUGCUGGUUGUGGCAUGAAGUUGCAAAUUUUUCUCUUCUUUUCAUGCCCGGUGUAUGGAUUAUUCACUCACCACCUUGUUAACCCUAGAAGGAAAUGGAGAGAAAUUUCCGAGCCCUUUUUCAACACUCAAGGCAAGAAACUAAGGGAGAAGAUGGGAAGGGAACUUGAGAAUAGGGGUUACGAGCCUGUCAACCCUAAAAAAGAGUAGCAAGAGAAAACGAAGGGGGGCAGAACUAACUAGAGGAAGAAGGUUGGAGAUGAGAGAGUUCGUCGGUGACUGGAACACAAAACAACGGUUACCAGGUGGGUUUGAUGAGUGGACGAAGAGGCCGGAGAAGUUGUUUACCUUGAUGCUCCAAAGCCUCGGGAUAAAGUGGAGGAUGGUGGAUGGGUGCACCAAAAAUUGAAAAUCCCAAGUGUCAUUGUAACACCCCAGGAAUAUCACUCACUUUGAAUCCUUUGAUGCAUUGCUUCAGGAUGCGGGAAACAAGAUGGGACUCUUUUAUCUGUAGAGAAAUGGAUACCCCUCUCUACAUUUUGACUCCUUUUUUGCUUCAAACUUUAUGGCUUUGAAUGACUUCAAACUCCUGUGUUUUUAUAUAAUAACUAUGAGCUUUUUGUAUUUCUUA
This is a long non-coding RNA of Populus nigra (black poplar), 1254 nucleotides long. RefSeq lists it as uncharacterized. NCBI's taxonomy places the organism in Eukaryota, Viridiplantae, Streptophyta, Magnoliopsida, Malpighiales, Salicaceae. The transcript has 3 exons. The record is from RefSeq and is a predicted model, not a curated record.